GGUUAAGCGACUAAGCGUACACGGUGGAUGCCCUGGCAGUCAGAGGCGAUGAAGGACGUGCUAAUCUGCGAUAAGCGUCGGUAAGGUGAUAUGAACCGUUAUAACCGGCGAUUUCCGAAUGGGGAAACCCAGUGUGUUUCGACACACUAUCAUUAACUGAAUCCAUAGGUUAAUGAGGCGAACCGGGGGAACUGAAACAUCUAAGUACCCCGAGGAAAAGAAAUCAACCGAGAUUCCCCCAGUAGCGGCGAGCGAACGGGGAGCAGCCCAGAGCCUGAAUCAGUGUGUGUGUUAGUGGAAGCGUCUGGAAAGGCGCGCGAUACAGGGUGACAGCCCCGUACACAAAAAUGCACAUAUUGUGAGCUCGAUGAGUAGGGCGGGACACGUGGUAUCCUGUCUGAAUAUGGGGGGACCAUCCUCCAAGGCUAAAUACUCCUGACUGACCGAUAGUGAACCAGUACCGUGAGGGAAAGGCGAAAAGAACCCCGGCGAGGGGAGUGAAAAAGAACCUGAAACCGUGUACGUACAAGCAGUGGGAGCACAGAGCAAUCUGUGUGACUGCGUACCUUUUGUAUAAUGGGUCAGCGACUUAUAUUCUGUAGCAAGGUUAACCGAAUAGGGGAGCCGAAGGGAAACCGAGUCUUAACUGGGCGUUAAGUUGCAGGGUAUAGACCCGAAACCCGGUGAUCUAGCCAUGGGCAGGUUGAAGGUUGGGUAACACUAACUGGAGGACCGAACCGACUAAUGUUGAAAAAUUAGCGGAUGACUUGUGGCUGGGGGUGAAAGGCCAAUCAAACCGGGAGAUAGCUGGUUCUCCCCGAAAGCUAUUUAGGUAGCGCCUCGUGAAUUCAUCUCCGGGGGUAGAGCACUGUUUCGGCAAGGGGGUCAUCCCGACUUACCAACCCGAUGCAAACUGCGAAUACCGGAGAAUGUUAUCACGGGAGACACACGGCGGGUGCUAACGUCCGUCGUGAAGAGGGAAACAACCCAGACCGCCAGCUAAGGUCCCAAAGUCAUGGUUAAGUGGGAAACGAUGUGGGAAGGCCCAGACAGCCAGGAUGUUGGCUUAGAAGCAGCCAUCAUUUAAAGAAAGCGUAAUAGCUCACUGGUCGAGUCGGCCUGCGCGGAAGAUGUAACGGGGCUAAACCAUGCACCGAAGCUGCGGCAGCGACGCUUAUGCGUUGUUGGGUAGGGGAGCGUUCUGUAAGCCUGUGAAGGUGUGCUGUGAGGCAUGCUGGAGGUAUCAGAAGUGCGAAUGCUGACAUAAGUAACGAUAAAGCGGGUGAAAAGCCCGCUCGCCGGAAGACCAAGGGUUCCUGUCCAACGUUAAUCGGGGCAGGGUGAGUCGACCCCUAAGGCGAGGCCGAAAGGCGUAGUCGAUGGGAAACAGGUUAAUAUUCCUGUACUUGGUGUUACUGCGAAGGGGGGACGGAGAAGGCUAUGUUGGCCGGGCGACGGUUGUCCCGGUUUAAGCGUGUAGGCUGGUUUUCCAGGCAAAUCCGGAAAAUCAAGGCUGAGGCGUGAUGACGAGGCACUACGGUGCUGAAGCAACAAAUGCCCUGCUUCCAGGAAAAGCCUCUAAGCAUCAGGUAACAUCAAAUCGUACCCCAAACCGACACAGGUGGUCAGGUAGAGAAUACCAAGGCGCUUGAGAGAACUCGGGUGAAGGAACUAGGCAAAAUGGUGCCGUAACUUCGGGAGAAGGCACGCUGAUAUGUAGGUGAAGUCCCUCGCGGAUGGAGCUGAAAUCAGUCGAAGAUACCAGCUGGCUGCAACUGUUUAUUAAAAACACAGCACUGUGCAAACACGAAAGUGGACGUAUACGGUGUGACGCCUGCCCGGUGCCGGAAGGUUAAUUGAUGGGGUUAGCGGUAACGCGAAGCUCUUGAUCGAAGCCCCGGUAAACGGCGGCCGUAACUAUAACGGUCCUAAGGUAGCGAAAUUCCUUGUCGGGUAAGUUCCGACCUGCACGAAUGGCGUAAUGAUGGCCAGGCUGUCUCCACCCGAGACUCAGUGAAAUUGAACUCGCUGUGAAGAUGCAGUGUACCCGCGGCAAGACGGAAAGACCCCGUGAACCUUUACUAUAGCUUGACACUGAACAUUGAGCCUUGAUGUGUAGGAUAGGUGGGAGGCUUUGAAGUGUGGACGCCAGUCUGCAUGGAGCCGGCCUUGAAAUACCACCCUUUAAUGUUUGAUGUUCUAACGUUGGCCCCUGAUCGGGGUUGCGGACAGUGUCUGGUGGGUAGUUUGACUGGGGCGGUCUCCUCCUAAAGAGUAACGGAGGAGCACGAAGGUUGGCUAAUCCUGGUCGGACAUCAGGAGGUUAGUGCAAUGGCAUAAGCCAGCUUGACUGCGAGCGUGACGGCGCGAGCAGGUGCGAAAGCAGGUCAUAGUGAUCCGGUGGUUCUGAAUGGAAGGGCCAUCGCUCAACGGAUAAAAGGUACUCCGGGGAUAACAGGCUGAUACCGCCCAAGAGUUCAUAUCGACGGCGGUGUUUGGCACCUCGAUGUCGGCUCAUCACAUCCUGGGGCUGAAGUAGGUCCCAAGGGUAUGGCUGUUCGCCAUUUAAAGUGGUACGCGAGCUGGGUUUAGAACGUCGUGAGACAGUUCGGUCCCUAUCUGCCGUGGGCGCUGGAGAACUGAGGGGGGCUGCUCCUAGUACGAGAGGACCGGAGUGGACGCAUCACUGGUGUUCGGGUUGUCAUGCCAAUGGCACUGCCCGGUAGCUAAAUGCGGAAGAGAUAAGUGCUGAAAGCAUCUAAGCACGAAACUUGCCCCGAGAUGAGUUCUCCCUGACUCCUUGAGAGUCCUGAAGGAACGUUGAAGACGACGACGUUGAUAGGCCGGGUGUGUAAGCGCAGCGAUGCGUUGAGCUAACCGGUACUAAUGAACCGUGAGGCUUAACCUU
RNAcentral lists this ribosomal RNA (2908 nucleotides) under Escherichia coli. Its description in RNAcentral is "23S ribosomal RNA". It matches the Rfam family "Bacterial large subunit ribosomal RNA". Lineage: Bacteria; Pseudomonadati; Pseudomonadota; Gammaproteobacteria; Enterobacterales; Enterobacteriaceae. RNAcentral also lists the same sequence under 3 other names. The record is from RNAcentral.